Molecule: ribosomal RNA, 505 nt
Filed under: uncultured Bacillota bacterium
Lineage: Bacteria; Bacillati; Bacillota
Description: bacterial SSU rRNA
Rfam family: Bacterial small subunit ribosomal RNA
Source: RNAcentral
UAGGGAAUCUUCCGCAAUGGACGAAAGUCUGACGGAGCAACGCCGCGUGAGCGAAGAAGGCCUUCGGGUCGUAAAGCUCUGUUGUUAGGGAAGAACAAGUAUCGGAGUAACUGCCGGUACCUUGACGGUACCUAACCAGAAAGCCACGGCUAACUACGUGCCAGCAGCCGCGGUAAUACGUAGGUGGCAAGCGUUGUCCGGAAUUAUUGGGCGUAAAGCGCGCGCAGGCGGUCCUUUAAGUCUGAUGUGAAAGCCCACGGCUCAACCGUGGAGGGUCAUUGGAAACUGGGGGACUUGAGUGCAGAAGAGGAGAGUGGAAUUCCACGUGUAGCGGUGAAAUGCGUAGAGAUGUGGAGGAACACCAGUGGCGAAGGCGACUCUCUGGUCUGUAACUGACGCUGAGGCGCGAAAGCGUGGGGAGCAAACAGGAUUAGAUACCCUGGUAGUCCACGCCGUAAACGAUGAGUGCUAAGUGUUAGAGGGUUUCCGCCCUUUAGUGCUGCAG